UACGUGGGGUGCAAGCGUUAUCCGGAAUUAUUGGGCGUAAAGAGCUCGUAGGCGGUCUGUCGCGUCGAUCGUGAAAACUUGGGGCUUAACCCUGAGCUUGCGGUCGAUACGGGCAUGACUGGAGUUCGGCAGGGGAGACUGGAAUUCCUGGUGUAGCGGUGAAAUGCGCAGAUAUCAGGAGGAACACCGGUGGCGAAGGCGGGUCUCUGGGCCGAUACUGACGCUGAGGAGCGAAAGCGUGGGGAGCGAACAGG
This 254-nucleotide ribosomal RNA is filed under the name uncultured prokaryote. Its description in RNAcentral is "partial 16S ribosomal RNA". It matches the Rfam family "Bacterial small subunit ribosomal RNA", at positions 524 to 776 of the family's 1533-position model. The record is from RNAcentral.